RNAcentral lists this long non-coding RNA (598 nucleotides) under Rattus norvegicus (Norway rat). RNAcentral describes it as "long non-coding RNA NONRATT025056". The record is from RNAcentral. Lineage: Eukaryota; Metazoa; Chordata; Mammalia; Rodentia; Muridae.
AGUGAAAUCUAAUUGUCCAGGUGAGAAAAUGUUAGUGUGGUAGGUAUAAGUGAUGCACCAGAAGAUGGCAACCGGCAUUGAGAAGCAAAGGAACUUCACGUGGCCUCUUUGGCUUCAGCUCCGUGCAUCCUAUAGACCUGUUGCCAUGAAGAAGUGGAUCACUUCUCAUCUGAAAAUAAGAUGGAGUCCUUGUCCACUUCACAUCAAUUUCCUAAGGACUAACAAACUGAAGAGACAUUUCAUACUUGAGAAGAAUGCUAGAAUGUAAACUUGCCUCAGAUACAAGUGGUGAACACAAUGCUGUACAAGGAAAGUUCUACACUUUAAGACCUAUGUUCUUUCUAAUAUGAUGUUACAACAUCAAAUAACAUGUUAGUCACCUACAGAGGGAAACUUCAGUUUAUUCAAAUUGCAAAACGUUAUACUAUAAUAAGCUUUUCAAUGUCAGCAAGACUACUACACCUUUUUCCCAGUACUCCUAGGCACAAGGAGGGAGAUCACUGUUAAGUUUGAGGCCAGCCUGAUUUACAUAGCAAGUUCCAAGUUAGCCAGAGCUACAUAGUAAACCCCUCUCCUGACUCAAAAAAAAAAAAAAAAA